AAGUCGAACGAAGGCUUCGGCCUUAGUGGCGCACGGGUGCGUAACGCGUGGGAAUCUGCCCUCAGGUUCGGAAUAACAGCGAGAAAUUGCUGCUAAUACCGGAUGAUAUCGCGAGAUCAAAGAUUUAUCGCCUGAGGAUGAGCCCGCGUAGGAUUAGCUAGUUGGUGUGGUAAAGGCGCACCAAGGCGACGAUCCUUAGCUGGUCUGAGAGGAUGAUCAGCCACACUGGGACUGAGACACGGCCCAGACUCCUACGGGAGGCAGCAGUGGGGAAUAUUGGACAAUGGGCGAAAGCCUGAUCCAGCAAUGCCGCGUGAGUGAUGAAGGCCUUAGGGUUGUAAAGCUCUUUUACCCGGGAUGAUAAUGACAGUACCGGGAGAAUAAGCUCCGGCUAACUCCGUGCCAGCAGCCGCGGUAAUACGGAGGGAGCUAGCGUUAUUCGGAAUUACUGGGCGUAAAGCGCACGUAGGCGGCUUUGUAAGUUAGAGGUGAAAGCCUGGAGCUCAACUCCAGAAUUGCCUUUAAGACUGCAUCGCUUGAAUCCAGGAGAGGUGAGUGGAAUUCCGAGUGUAGAGGUGAAAUUCGUAGAUAUUCGGAAGAACACCAGUGGCGAAGGCGGCUCACUGGACUGGUAUUGACGCUGAGGUGCG
This 650-nucleotide ribosomal RNA is filed under the name Sphingomonas melonis. RNAcentral describes it as "bacterial SSU rRNA". It matches the Rfam family "Bacterial small subunit ribosomal RNA", at positions 59 to 755 of the family's 1533-position model. The record is from RNAcentral. Lineage: Bacteria; Pseudomonadati; Pseudomonadota; Alphaproteobacteria; Sphingomonadales; Sphingomonadaceae.